AUCUAGUAUAAGCAUUAUACCGUGAAACUGCGAAUGGCUCAUUAAAUCAGUUAUCGUUUAUUUGAUAGUACCUUACUACUUGGAUAACCGUGGUAAUUCUAGAGCUAAUACAUGCUGAAAACCCCAACUUCGGGAGGGGUGUAUUUAUUAGAUAAAAAACCAACGCCCUUCGGGGCUUCUUGGUGAUUCAUGAUAACUUCACGGAUCGCAUGGCCUUGCGCCGGCGACGGUUCAUUCAAAUUUCUGCCCUAUCAACUUUCGAUGGUAAGGUAUUGGCUUACCAUGGUUUCAACGGGUAACGGGGAAUUAGGGUUCGAUUCCGGAGAGRGAGCCUGAGANACNNGCUACCACAUCCAAGGAAGGCAGCAGGCGCGCAAAUUACCCAAUCCCGACACGGGGAGGUAGUGACAAUAAAUACUGAUACAGGGCUCUUUUGGGUCUUGUAAUUGGAAUGAGUACAAUUUAAACCUCUUAACGAGGAACAAUUGGAGGGCAAGUCUGGUGCCAGCAGCCGCGGUAAUUCCAGCUCCAAUAGCGUAUAUUAAAGUUGUUGCAGUUAAAAAGCUCGUAGUUGAAACUUGGGCCUGGCUGGCAGGUCCGCCUCACCGCGUGUACUUGUCCGGCCGGGCCUUUCCUUCUGGAGAACCUCAUGCCCUUCACUGGGUGUGUUGGGGAACCAGGACUUUUACUUUGAAAAAAUUAGAGUGUUCAAAGCAGGCCUUUGCUCGAAUACGUUAGCAUGGAAUAAUAGAAUAGGACGUGCGGUCCUAUUUUGUUGGUUUCUAGGACCGCCGUAAUGAUUAAUAGGGACAGUCGGGGGCAUCAGUAUUCAAUUGUCAGAGGUGAAAUUCUUGGAUUUAUUGAAGACUAACUACUGCGAAAGCAUUUGCCAAGGAUGUUUUCAUUAAUCAGUGAACGAAAGUUAGGGGAUCGAAGACGAUCAGAUACCGUCGUAGUCUUAACCGUAAACUAUGCCGACUAGGGAUCGGGCGAUGUUCUUUUUCUGACUCGCUCGGCACCUUACGAGAAAUCAAAGUUUUUGGGUUCUGGGGA
This 1053-nucleotide ribosomal RNA is filed under the name Neomicrosphaeropsis italica. RNAcentral describes it as "SSU rRNA". It matches the Rfam family "Eukaryotic small subunit ribosomal RNA", at positions 57 to 1131 of the family's 1831-position model. The record is from RNAcentral. Lineage: Eukaryota; Fungi; Ascomycota; Dothideomycetes; Pleosporales; Didymellaceae.